AACUUUCAACAACGGAUCUCUUGGUUCUGGCAUCGAUGAAGAACGCAGCGAAAUGCGAUAAUGUAAUGUGAAUUGCAGAUUCAGUUAAUCAUCGAAUCUUUGAACGCACAUUGCGCCCGCCAGUACUCUGGCGGGCAUGCCUCUUCGAGCGUCAUU
This 156-nucleotide ribosomal RNA is filed under the name Cordyceps gunnii. RNAcentral describes it as "5.8S ribosomal RNA". It matches the Rfam family "5.8S ribosomal RNA". From Rfam's summary of the family: 5.8S ribosomal RNA (5.8S rRNA) is a component of the large subunit of the eukaryotic ribosome. The record is from RNAcentral. Lineage: Eukaryota; Fungi; Ascomycota; Sordariomycetes; Hypocreales; Cordycipitaceae.